GACGGAGGGGGCUAGCGUUGUUCGGAAUUACUGGGCGUAAAGCGCACGUAGGCGGCGCUGCAAGUCAGGCGUGAAAGGCCCGGGCUCAACCUGGGAACUGCGCUUGAGACUGCUGUGCUUGAGAACGGGAGAGGGCAGUGGAAUUCCCAGUGUAGAGGUGAAAUUCGUAGAUAUUGGGAAGAACACCGGUGGCGAAGGCGGCUGCCUGGCCCGUUUCUGACGCUGAGGUGCGAAAGCGUGGGGAGCAAACAGG
This 253-nucleotide unclassified non-coding RNA is filed under the name uncultured Alphaproteobacteria bacterium. RNAcentral's name for it is "contains 16S-23S intergenic spacer region". It matches the Rfam family "Bacterial small subunit ribosomal RNA", at positions 524 to 776 of the family's 1533-position model. Lineage: Bacteria; Pseudomonadati; Pseudomonadota; Alphaproteobacteria. The record is from RNAcentral.